GUGCACCAGGCGAGAAAACUUUACAAUGUGCGAAAGCACGAUAAGGGAACUCUGAGUGCCUCCUAAGGAGGCUGUUCAGGUGUCUAAAAAGCACCUGGAGUAAGGGCUGGGUAAGACCGGUGCCAGCCGCCGCGGUAACACCGGCAGCCCAGGUGGUAGCCACUUUUAUUGGGUCUAAAGCGUCCGUAGCCGGUUGAGUAAGUUCCUUGGGAAAUUUGGCUGCUCAACAGUCAAGCUUCCAGGGAAUACUGCUCGACUUGGGACUGGGAGAGGUCAGAGGUACUCCAGGGGUAGGGGUGAAAUCCAUUAAUCCCUGGGGGACCACCGGUAGCGAAGGCGUCUGACCAGACCAGGUCCGACGGUGAGGGACGAAGGCUAGGGGCGCGAACCGGAUUAGAUA
This 400-nucleotide ribosomal RNA is filed under the name uncultured microorganism. RNAcentral describes it as "bacterial SSU rRNA". It matches the Rfam family "Archaeal small subunit ribosomal RNA", at positions 330 to 735 of the family's 1478-position model. The record is from RNAcentral.